AAACGACUCUCGGCAACGGAUAUCCCGGCUCUCGCAUCGAUGAAGAACGUAGCGAAAUGCGAUACUUGGUGUGAAUUGCAGAAUCCCGUGAACCAUCGAGUCUUUGAACGCAAGUUGCGCCCGAAGCCAUUAGGCUAAGGGCACGUCUGCCUGGGUGUCACGC
RNAcentral lists this ribosomal RNA (163 nucleotides) under Ferula gummosa. RNAcentral describes it as "5.8S ribosomal RNA". It matches the Rfam family "5.8S ribosomal RNA". From Rfam's summary of the family: 5.8S ribosomal RNA (5.8S rRNA) is a component of the large subunit of the eukaryotic ribosome. The record is from RNAcentral. Lineage: Eukaryota; Viridiplantae; Streptophyta; Magnoliopsida; Apiales; Apiaceae. RNAcentral also lists the same sequence under 3 other names.